This 77-nucleotide transfer RNA is filed under the name Burkholderia lata. RNAcentral describes it as "tRNA-Ala". Lineage: Bacteria; Pseudomonadati; Pseudomonadota; Betaproteobacteria; Burkholderiales; Burkholderiaceae. The record is from RNAcentral.
GGCACCCGCGGCGGCGCUUGCGCCCGCGCCGCUCGCGCCAGUGCCGGCCGCCGGCGUGCGGUUCCACGGGUGCCACC